Papio anubis (olive baboon) is the source of this 148-nucleotide unclassified non-coding RNA. It matches the Rfam family "Metazoan signal recognition particle RNA". Rfam says of the family: The signal recognition particle (SRP) is a universally conserved ribonucleoprotein. It is involved in the co-translational targeting of proteins to membranes. The eukaryotic SRP consists of a 300-nucleotide 7S RNA and six proteins: SRPs 72, 68, 54, 19, 14, and 9. The record is from Ensembl. Lineage: Eukaryota; Metazoa; Chordata; Mammalia; Primates; Cercopithecidae.
GCUGGGCAUGGUGGCGGGUGCCUAUAAUCCCAGCUACUCAGGAGGCUGAGGCAGGAGAAUCGCUUGAACCCGGGAGGCAGAGGUUGCAAUGAGCAAAGACCACGUCAUUGCACUCCAGCCUGGGCAACAGAGCGAGACCCUGUCUCAU